Molecule: non-coding RNA, 2057 nt
Organism: Ictidomys tridecemlineatus (thirteen-lined ground squirrel)
Lineage: Eukaryota; Metazoa; Chordata; Mammalia; Rodentia; Sciuridae
Source: RefSeq, a predicted model, not a curated record
GCUAGGCUCAGAUGUCAAGAUCUAACUUGUCACCACAGUGUCCCGUCUUCUCAGAGGGUGAGCCACGUGCCUGUGUGCCCAGCCCGUGGAGUCGCCGUCCACGUGGCAGGCAAAGGCGUCGACGGGGCGGGUAGCUCUGCUGCUCCCUGGCCCUGGGCGUUAGGACCUGCUGCUCGGAAGCCCCUGGGCAGGGCUGCCGGGGCCCAGAGGGACCCGGGAGCCCAGGCUCCAGGAGAAGAGGCGCCAACACCCCAUUUGCUUUGCUUUUUAGCGUGUCCUGUCCUCAAGCUCCUGCCUCCGUGGGAACGUGCAGGACUCUGCGGCCGGCACCGCCCACCCGGGCCUCGGCGCCCACCCAGCUCCGUGUGGAGGGAGCUGUCAAUCACCUGGCGGAAUGGCUACCACGUCAGGCGCCCCUCAGACCCCCACCCCAACCUCCUGCGUGGCCUGGCCGUCUACCCCUGGAUGUCCCCGUGCAUGCUCUCCCUUGCCGGCUGGUGACAUCCUCACUCACUCAUUGUCCCCAGCCCAGGGUCUCAGCCACUCUGUGCUCCUUUACGUUUCCUUAUACAUGAUCAGGGACACGCCUGCCACCUGCGGGCGAGGCCUGGGGACCAGGUACAGGUGGCGGCAGCUGUGGGCUGAGGUCACUGAGAGCAGCCUGGGCAGGGUGCCAGGCUCCGGGGCCACAGGUCUGAGCCUUCCCUGGGACUGCUCCAGCAGAGGCUGGCAAGAGCCCAGCACGGGGACAGGUGGCCGGCAGAUGGGGAGGUGUGUCAACCGGGUCAAGGACACGGAGCCUGGGAGCCAGCUGGCUGGUCCUGGCUCCGGAGGUGAGCGUCAGCGGUGGGGUGGCAGCUGCUCAGAGGUGCCACACCAGGCCUUCCUUCCCUUCUUCUGUGAUAUGUGCCCUCUGGGGACAGGAGCAUGUCCCCGGCCCUGAGUGGGGAGCUGGACCCUGUGGACAUGGAGAACCAGCAGGUGGAGCGGGAAGAGCGAGCUCUGACCAGGAGGAGCGCUAAUGCUCGCCUGGGGGGAGGGCGCCUGGGACCCGUGGACGAGCUGGUCAAGAGCAGAGAGACUGUCACUGGAGGAUGUCACCGCCUGUCUCCGUGUGGCCCGCGAGUCGCACGAGGACACAAGCACCUCCUGAGUGGCCGCGAAUCAGACACAUCCUUGACUUCCAUUAAGUAACCCCAGGGCCCCCAGGGCCACCGCCACGGGAAGGGGUCCCAGUGCCCCCAAUGAUCUUCAUGAGAGGGCGAGAGCGUAGGUGCCUCUCCACCCCAAGCACCGAGCGCAGGUGGAGGUGAGGAAGCACCCACCCAGCUAAUACCCGUGUCCGCCAUAUUGGUUUCCUAGGGCGGCCAAGACGGAGGGCCACGGAGCAUGGCGUCUAGGCCAACGUUUGUUCCCUCACGGUCCUGGAGGCCAGAGUCGAGAUCAAUCAAGUCGUCUGUGCCUUGAUGCGUUUGGAUGUGGUUCAAGGGUGUCCCCAAGGGCUCAGGGGCUGGAGCCUGGGUCCCCAGCGUGGACAUGUUGGCAGAUGUACUCAGUCUUUGAAGUAGAUUCUCGCCCCCGAUGAGCACCUGCUCGAACUCAGGGUACGGUGGUCUAACACCUGCUCGGGCCCAGAUGCGACUGAGUUGCAAGCUGACUGCGUGUUUCCUCCUUCUGUGGCUUGCGUGCUUGCUAACUGGAAAAUUCCAGUCCUGCUUAGGGCUCCCAGGUCCUGCUGGCUAUGGUUCUAGCUUCUGUGAUUGGCUUACUCACGUGAGGGCAGGGAAAGUCCCUGAGCUGUGGUUUUCAUCUUUAAGUUCCCAGGACACAGAGCAGGAAACUGCUGUCCUCCCACAGAGCUUCAGUCUCUAUGUGCGAGUGACAGUCCCUGACCAGGUAAAUAAAGCUCUCUUGUUUUCUGAAGCGGUUCCCCAUGACACUACAGCCAUGUUGUCAUGCAGCUGAGGGGGCCCUCACCAGAGGCUGAAAAGAUGGGGCCACCCGAUCUUGGAUUUUCAUUCUCCAAAUCCGAGCUAAGUAAACCUCCUUUCUUUAUA